GCAAGAAUGGUUUGCUUGUUUUGGAGAGCUCUGUCAAUAUGUUAAGCCAGGCCAUGAGCAUGUUUCCGAUUUAUUACUCUGCCAAGCGUUUAAAUAAUGUCUAUAAGACCAUUGUUCCUCACUUCCUGGAAUGUAUUCUCACUGCUGCAACCUUCAAAAACUACGAUCAUGAUAGGAUCUUGGAAUGUGUGAAGGUAAAACAUUAUUUUACUAUUUCCUCGCCUUUAUGAUACAAUGUUGGGUCUUUUUAGCGGAGGAAGGCUGAACGAGACAAUUAUGCUACUCUCAGAAUCGUAUUUUAGUUAUUUCAGAUUAUAGAUCACUAAAUAAUGAGAUCUGUAAAAAUGCUAAGUCUCCUCGUCCAAUAUUAACAGAUAUCGCCAUUCGAUAAACACGUUUGCAUGAUAUCACACAUCGUGAUGAUGCAUACCAUGGUUUUUCUUACCUUGAUUUUAUAGAUGUUUUCAGUUGAGUAACCAAAAGCAGAUGAUUGUGUGUGCCUCUAACUGAUGAAUCUCCGGUAGAAGAAACCAUAACAACCAAAGGCAAGACUAGUACAAAGAAUAUUAAGAUUAAUCAAUUGAUCAGAUAUAAUAUGGUUUAUGGAAAAUUUAAAAAUCAAUAAUUAUAAAACAAGAGAUUGUAAGUAAUUAUAAAAACAACAGAAGGUUUAGUAUUUUAGAAAAUGGAAAUUAUUAUAAAUAGACAAAAAAUCAUAACACCAAUUUUAUUUUUACUAACCAAAAUAAAUUCUUGGAUUUUCUUAUAAAAAGGAUUUUUCUUUUAUUUCAGGAUAUAUUGGUAUGAAGAAAUGUCUAAGAGAAGUGUUUGUGAAUUAUGCUGAAGUUCAUGCCAAAGACAAAACGAACAGCAUAUUACCUCGCAUCAUCAAUAUAGUCGCUAAAGCUGUGAUUCAAAGUUUCAUGAUUGAAGUUCUUAAGAAUAAUGUCGCUGUGCAAUUUGUCAAACUGAACAACUUGCCAUUUUUCACAAAUUUCUUGUUGACUCUCAUCAAUUCUCGGCCUGUUUUCUGCUCAUUAUUCCUCACUUGUCUCAACAGGAAUGUAACUGAACUUUAUGCCCACGUAAGUCAUUUAAAAAUAAGAUGUCAGAUAUCACACAGAUUGAUUCGUAUCAGACACUUUUAUAAAGUCAUUUGUUUAACAUCGCACAAAUAUCUAAUUAAGUUGAUUAAGUGAGUGGUCCUUUAUCAUCAGUCAAAUCAUAAAAUACGCUCUGUAUUCAACCAGUAGUAGAGAUGGCAGAUGACCCUUGAAUUACUCAGUUUUAAAAAGUUAAGUAUUAGUAUCAUAAAGUGAAAGAAAAAUCUACACUCUAAAUUUUUUCCUCAUAAUCUUGAUAACCGCAAGGAAAGUAAGUACAGUAUUGCUGCGUAGGAAAAGUUUUUGGUUGCUCAGUUUUUCAUAUUGGUAAAUAUUACUUGAACAUGCUAAAAACAAGUCCUUAAAAGUCCUUAAAAAAACAAUUUUCACCAUUAUCCUAUUCACUACAAGGCUAGAUUCUGCAAGCGUAUAUCCUGCAACAGAAAUUAGUAUCUCUGAGGAUAAAUCUGAGAAUUUUCAGUUUGAAAGUGGUUAAAACUAGUUCAGAUCCAGCUCUAUAGAUUGAGCCGCAAAUAAGAAUACCUUUGAACGGAGGUUCUUGAGUAAUAGCAGAAAUUCUGGGGGAAGGAUAUGUCUAAAAACUAAUUUUAUAUCACAGCAAGUCUACAAAAAUUGAUGUUCCUCUUUCAGAAUGGUGCCCAAAUCCUCGCAACUAUCAGUUUGCUUUUUACGCUAGCAAUGAACAAAUUCAAAUUCAAGGAGGCUGAAUUCAAGCAACGGUGAAGCUGACGAAUGACGUAAUGAUGAAAUACCGUACAUCUCGGGAUGACUCCAACUUGAACGAUUCAGCUUGUCUUAUCGAUCAAGAACAUAACCUUGAUGAACAGUAAGUUAAUAUGCAACUACUGAUGGUUAAUUUUCAAGGUCACACUUUGAAAGUAUCGGUUCCUUUCUUUAUCAAGAACAACUGCGAUAUUAAUAAAAAAAUAUGCUAGUGCCUCUUUUUGUUGCUUGAAAUGAAAUAUAUAGUUUUUUUUUUCUUUCUACUUUCUGCUUUCUUACUUUUCAUUUCAAGCACCUUUGUUAGAUUUCUUCCAAAGUUAAGAAAAACGGUAAGUGUCUGCACCCGAUAGCUGUCCCAAUUUUGGAACACAUCAGGUCAAGACGGUUGGCAUCUCAAGUCUCAACUGAGAUUCAAUGUUAUGUUUGUCGAGGUAUUUUUGCCAUUAUCAAGUUCUUUCAAUUUUUGGUAAUUAUUAAUCUCAAAUGCAUAUUCUAUACAAUAGCUCUCCUUUGAAUGAAAAUUCCAGAGCUAGAACAGAUUUAAGUGUUGGCUCCACAACAAAAUACGCAUUUUAUUCUGGUAUAAAUAUGUAUAAUUUUUUGCUUGGUCGUCAACUUUUUAGGGGGAGUUCUUUAGGAUUGGGCCGGAGUGGCUACCGCCACCUAGAAUACUUUUUUAUUGCUACGUUUCUUCCCGCGUCAUUCUGUGCCCUUUUUCCUAGUGAUGAUUUACAUCAUUCUUGAUAAAUAAUUUUUUAACUUUUCUUGCCUGCAGGGAUGUCCAGAAUCAAGGAGCUCAGCUGAUGCAAAAGAUCUCUGAAAAAAUUGAACUCUUCACGUGAAGAAAAUUCUUAGAAAGAGAAAAUUUUCUUCGCAAUCAUCCUGAUCUCAUUCAGCCUUGUGGUUGAUCCUCAGCCAAAGUACUUCAGCUAAUCCUCUCAUAACGUAACAAUCGUAAUUCUGGUGAUAUUUUACGUCAAAGAUAUCUUAAUUCAUUUUUGCCGUCUUACUGAUAGACUUUCAAGAUUUUUACCUUUUGUUUGUUUAUCUUAGAAAUUCUUCAAGAACAGAGAAUUCUUAAAGAAUGGAACACCUAUUUUCAAAGUAAAUUUUUAUUAUUUUAAUUUUUUCAUGUCACCAUAAAUGAAUGAACAAGGUACUAUCAUUUUAGCUAGCUUUAAAUCGAGAUUACUGGAAUCCCUGAAUCGUUUCUCUCAUUCAUGUCGAACAUGAUGGGAGUAAAGAUUUAAAUUAUAAUGAAUUGCACCAAAGAAUUUCCGGGUUCUCUAAGGUAUUGACAGCAGUUUGUGCGGCAUUAAAAAGUGCUUGAUUUUGACAUUUUUUCAAGGCCUCGAAAGAGCUUAAUUUUUGGAAGGUCCUUGGAAAAUGCCGGAAUUAUGUUUUACUAAUUAUCCACAGUGAAUGCUUAUCGUUAAGGAAUAACAAAUCAUUUGAUGUCAAGGAGAUCGUUCGGGGAGACAUUUUAUUCAUGUAGGAAGCGCAAUCUGCUUACAUUAAGAACUUAAAAUACCAACUCAAACUCACAAUACAGGGGAAAUAACGUGUUUUUAGAGAGAAAGAGAAAGAAAGAAAGAGAAAAAUGUGCUUAAUCUUUUAUUCUUGUGCAUGGAUGAGCCAUGUCUACAAGACAUCUUCCUCUACAAAACAUAUUUAAUAAGAUAUCCAAGAUUAUCUAAAACGGGACAGAAAGUAAAGUUCAAAGUAUACAUAAUUCUUAUCCUUAAAAUUAUUCAUUAAAAUUCGUGACUGAAAAUUGACUUUUCAAAAGAAACUUGUACAAGAGAUUUUGUUUUUUUUUUCUUUUGAGAAUGGUUCAAAUAAAAAUGGUAUUUUUCUGUUAUCAAAGUUGUAAGCUCAGUACUCUAGGGCUACAAAAGUAGUUUUGUAUUCUAAGUUCAAAAAUGCAGGUCUUCAAAGUUAUUUUUUAAACUAUGAACCUUUUCAAUACAGAUCAUUUUAGAAAAAGUGCUUGUAACUUGAUCACACUCUUCGAAGUAAAAAUCUGUACAGUUCUUGUUAAGUAGACUUUAAGCCUGAUAUAAGUUCAUUUGUAAUAUUUUUAUAACUGUACAGGUGAUUUCUCUUCUCCGUCUUUCAAAUUGUUUUCGUCUUAAUACACUUUUAUUUUUUCAACUGUGUAAACUCUUAAGAAGAAUAUAUAUUUUUGUAAAUAAACUGCCUGUAGCAUUUACGUAAUACUCAAAUGAUUUUGGGUCUCUGUAUUUUUUUAGUCUCACUGUCUCAUUGCGAAGUCAAUGGACUGAUAAUCAACUGACAAGAGGGUUGAAU
This 4157-nucleotide long non-coding RNA is filed under the name Bemisia tabaci. RNAcentral's name for it is "lncRNA ENSSSA2NGG013230". Lineage: Eukaryota; Metazoa; Arthropoda; Insecta; Hemiptera; Aleyrodidae. The record is from RNAcentral.